This is a long non-coding RNA of Oncorhynchus tshawytscha (Chinook salmon), 117 nucleotides long. RefSeq lists it as uncharacterized. The transcript has 2 exons. NCBI's taxonomy places the organism in Eukaryota, Metazoa, Chordata, Actinopteri, Salmoniformes, Salmonidae. The record is from RefSeq and is a predicted model, not a curated record.
UAUGAGUACAGCGACUGCAAUUAGAAGGCAUCAUGUUAAUGUUACUACUUAGCUUCGGCUGUUGGAGGUCCUGACGAACCGUGUCCAGAUAAAGCGUCCGGAGUGAAAAAGUUGAGG